AGAAAAGAAAGAAAAAAAACUUUUAAAAAAAGUAAAAAACUUUCUGGCGCUCUGCUAGGGUUUAAUACCCAAGCUUCCUCGCGCCGCUUCCCUAUCACCCUCCGCCGCGACUCCGUGUAAUCGGAGGCCGGAGGGGUGCCAGAUCUGGGCUCUUUAACCCCUCCUAACAACUCUUGAAGGCCAAGGUAAGUCUCCCUUCCUUUAUUCUUUUUAUUUUCGUACACAAAAGCACAAAUAAAAAAAAACUGAAACUUCAAAUAAUCACCUUAAAAAUACUGAUGUUUGCUUUGUUUUCUCUUUGAUCUCCCCUUUCUUUUUACAAAAGACCGACUGUUUUAUAGCCUAACACUAACCUAUUUUCCUUGUCUUUUGUUGUUUUACAUUAUUUGGACUCUUUGAGUCCGUUUUACAAGUAUUUGAGGAGCGAACGGCGUGCGUGGGGAAGCCGAUCUCCGAGUCUUGCGGCGACUGGACGUUGGGCGCGACGUGGGGCUGAUGGGGCUUGCGGCGCUAGACAUGCGGCUAGGGUUUGGGUGUUUUGGGGUCUGGUUUAGGAUAAAUUGAUUUGGGCUGGGUUAUUGGGCUUGUUUGUUUCUUUGGGUUUUAUUUUUAACAGGCCGGAUAAAAUUGGGCCCUACAGUAUAUAUCGAUACUUAACUCAUUCAACGAUCACUAACAAUUAUUUUUUAGUCAAAAUAUCAGUAUUGAUAUCAAUACAUUAAUUAGAGGAUCAAUUUUUCAAUUUAAAACUAAUGCUAGCAACGACUCUAUUUCACUUUCAAAUGUCCACAAACUCAUUUCUUAUUAUAAAUACAGCUACAAAAUAUAAGAGAGUAACAUCCAAAUAAAAAAAAAAAAACAAGACACAAACUUAUAUCAAGUUGUUCAGAAAUUACUUUGAGAGUAUUUGCAUUAUGUCACCAUUAUUGUAUGAUAGUAAAAAA
RNAcentral lists this long non-coding RNA (944 nucleotides) under Gossypium barbadense (sea-island cotton). RNAcentral describes it as "long non-coding RNA (GBAR_LNC019648)". The record is from RNAcentral. Lineage: Eukaryota; Viridiplantae; Streptophyta; Magnoliopsida; Malvales; Malvaceae.